UCUUGGAAAUUUUCCUCGCGUCUGUGCAUUGUGUUUGCUGCACUCGGAGCUUUUUGAUCGCUCUUUAUCCACUCUCGCGCAGCGGUUGAGACGCAUUAUAUGACGCGCGAACUCGAAAAGCUUUUUUGAUCUAUUGUUUUUAUGAUAAUUUGCUAAUAAUGUGCUUUAUCUGUGCAUAUAAUAUCUGGCUUAAUAUGGUGUACUUAGGCAAAAUAUAUAAGUAUGUAGGUAGGUAUCCAAUAACCUACAUUCUUUGAUAUGGAGAAGAUCGAUUCAUGAAUUUAGUUUAAAUGUGCCCACCCGAAUAAAAACACUGGAAAACAUAGAGUAAAAGGGAAUACAGUCGCAGCAAAAGAAGCCUUCGCCUUACCUGCAAUCUAGUGCAAUUUAAGUAAUCGCAUUUCAUUACAGAAGCAGAGAGGCCUUCAUAGUACAUUGGAUUAAUCCGCCUUUUCAUGAUCAUGACUGUGUUUUCGACUGCUACAAAAUGCCGGAUUGAACCCAAAUAAAUAUUGUUUAGAGGAAAGUAA
Helicoverpa zea (corn earworm) is the source of this 530-nucleotide long non-coding RNA. RefSeq lists it as uncharacterized. The record is from RefSeq and is a predicted model, not a curated record. NCBI's taxonomy places the organism in Eukaryota, Metazoa, Arthropoda, Insecta, Lepidoptera, Noctuidae. The transcript is spliced from 3 exons.